Molecule: transfer RNA, 85 nt
Filed under: Thermoguttaceae bacterium
Lineage: Bacteria; Pseudomonadati; Planctomycetota; Planctomycetia; Pirellulales; Thermoguttaceae
Description: tRNA-Leu
Rfam family: tRNA
About the family: Transfer RNA (tRNA) molecules are approximately 80 nucleotides in length.
Source: RNAcentral
GCGGGAAUGGCGGAAUUGGCAGACGCGUCAGGUUGAGGGCCUGAUGAGAUUUUUUCUCGUGGAGGUUCAAGUCCUCUUUCCCGCA